RNAcentral lists this ribosomal RNA (250 nucleotides) under uncultured bacterium. RNAcentral's name for it is "partial 16S ribosomal RNA". It matches the Rfam family "Bacterial small subunit ribosomal RNA", at positions 524 to 773 of the family's 1533-position model. The record is from RNAcentral.
UACAGAGGGUGCAAGCGUUGUUCGGAAUUACUGGGCGUAAAGCGCGUGUAGGCGGCGGCGUAAGUCGGAUGUGAAAGCCCUCAGCUCAACUGAGGAAGUGCAUUCGAUACUGCAUCGCUUGAGUGCCGGAGGGGAUGGCGGAAUUCCCGGUGUAGAGGUGAAAUUCGUAGAUAUCGGGAGGAACACCUGUGGCGAAGGCGGCCAUCUGGACGGUAACUGACGCUGAGACGCGAAAGCGUGGGUAGCAAAC